Molecule: ribosomal RNA, 741 nt
Filed under: Triticum aestivum (bread wheat)
Lineage: Eukaryota; Viridiplantae; Streptophyta; Magnoliopsida; Poales; Poaceae
Description: partial small subunit ribosomal RNA
Source: RNAcentral
AUGGGCGUUCAUUCACUGUCAACACCGAGCAGCGAGCACCACUGGAUGCCCUCUCCACAGGAGCUCCUAUAUAUGGCGACAUCCGACGAACAGGCUCGCGAGGACCGACAGGAUAUCAAGGACGAACAACUGGCUCACAAGGACGACGAACAGGCUGAGAAGGAGUACGCCGAUUUCGAGGCGAGGGUCAGGAGGACGAUAUACAUCGAUCACCUCUCCCCCCUGAUCACCGCCCAGGUCAUCAAGGCGUCUCUCGCCCAGUGCGCCAACGUCGUCAGCACCGAGUUCAUUCAGAACUACACGAUCCAGUACGAGAUCCCCGCCGCUGCGUUGGUCGAGGUGGACAACGUGUCGCAGGCCCAGGCUGCUGUGGACCUGAUGAACAACUUCCCUUUCAUGCUCGGCGGGAUGCCCAGGCCUGUGAGGGCCGUCUUUGCAAAGCCCGACAUGUUUCCGGAUCGCCCUAGGAAGCCUGGCUUGAAGAUUGAGUUCAGCUGGGUCAAGCAAGGAGAUCCAGGGUAUGAUGGGAUGAAUAAGCUCAAGGGCCUCGCCAGGAGGCAAGAAGCAGAAAAUAUGGCACUUAUCAAGAAUCAGUUGGAAGAGGAGAAGGAGCUGGCGGCGCAGCAGCAGGAAACCCUGGAAGCAAGCAAUAGCAAGUACGACAUGCUCGAGAAACUCAUGACUGACGGGGACAUUACUAAACUCGCUCAGCAUUACAAGGUCAAGCUGGGAGACGACUGA